CUUCUCUAAUUCCAUCCAUUUACCUGCAAAUGCUAUGAUUUUAUUCUCUUUUAUUGCUGAGUAAUAUUCCAUUGUGUAUAUAUGCCACAUUUUUUUUAUCCAUUCAUCCACUGAAGGGCAUCUAGGUUGGUUCCACAGUUUAGCUAUUGUGAAUUGUGCUGCUAUAAACAUUGAUGUGGCUGUGUCCCUGUAGUAUGCUGAUUUUAAGUCCUUUGGGUAUAG
Molecule: long non-coding RNA, 222 nt
Filed under: Marmota monax (woodchuck)
Lineage: Eukaryota; Metazoa; Chordata; Mammalia; Rodentia; Sciuridae
Source: RNAcentral